ACAGAGGUGGCGAGCGUUAUUCGGAAUUACUGGGCGUAAAGGGUGCGUAGGCGGGAUGGUAAGUCGGUCGUGAAAUCCCUCGGCUCAACCGAGGAACGUCGAUCGAUACUACCGUUCUUGAGGAUUGCAGAGGAGACUGGAAUUCCCGGUGUAGCGGUGAAAUGUGUAGAGAUCGGGAGGAACACCGGUGGCGAAGGCGGGUCUCUGGGCAAUUCCUGACGCUGAGGCGCGAAAGCGUGGGGAGCAAACGGGA
Molecule: ribosomal RNA, 253 nt
Filed under: uncultured prokaryote
Description: partial 16S ribosomal RNA
Rfam family: Bacterial small subunit ribosomal RNA
Source: RNAcentral